Molecule: non-coding RNA, 3273 nt
Organism: Sus scrofa (pig)
Lineage: Eukaryota; Metazoa; Chordata; Mammalia; Artiodactyla; Suidae
Source: RefSeq, a predicted model, not a curated record
ACAGAAAAAAAAGAGCACCACUUAAACUUUUUCCAACUGAGAUUCCAAACUGAGAUGCUGUGGAAGAGGCAGUGUAAAAUACCUCCAGUGUUUCGAGGAGCCAUAUAUGACUUGAACUUUUCUUCUGCAUAAGACCUUGUCCCCAAACAAAGCAGUUAUACACACAGCCCCACCGCAUUUAUUUCUUCAAUUUACUCUCUGUCCCUUUCAACUGCGAAAUGACCUCUUUCUUUUCCCCAGUCUCUUUCUCCCAGGCCUCACUCCGCUCACCCCCACGUUCCAGCUGGUAACAGUUUAUGAAGCGUGUUGCAGUGUUAAUACCUUGUUAAGGUGGUUUCAGCUGUUGGGUCUUUGAGACGUCAACGUCAGGACUGUUUUACCGUGAACCCUUGACGGGUAGGUGAAGUCUGGGGACGUGCGGAAUUUGUACCUCCUCACGCUGCAGGAAGCCUACAGCUAUGGGCAUCUCUUCCCGUGAUGUGGUGUUGCUGGCUGGGUCAUUAUCUAUUAUAUGGCCUAUUAAAUCAUUAUAAUUGGAAAAGAAUUACAGCAAAGUCGUCAUCCUUUGAAGACAUAUUUGAUUAAAAGCAGAAAACCUUAGCGGACACACUGGAGGCUGAAAUGCAGUCAGCGGAAAUGGAAACACUUCAACCCUGCCCCUGUGGCGAGAAUGGCUUCCCGUUAGACAAUCUGGUCAGAUUCUUUAUGGACCCAAAGGGAGGUACAUGUGCUGGGCAUUGCGUUUAUGUUUUUCCUGACCUACCUGCUCCUUAGAACUACCGUCCUAAGACUGCUGCUUGUGUAAAACCUUUCAGAACUAUUCAUCAUUGAUCCAGCCAUAAUCACACUGAUCUGUUGGCUUUUCACUAAACUUUACUUAAGUGAAAACUAACCCUCUUCUUCCUGUUCAGGAUUAUGAUUGACUGUAUGUCUUUUGAAUGGUGUGAAGAUGCUGGCUGUGAAACUGGAACACUGCUUUAAACGUCUUUAAAAGAAGGAAAGAAAAAUAGGCCCCCUCAAAUACUAUCGAGCAAGAUAAAAGAAAAUAAUAAUGGUGCACAUUGCAUUGUCAAUGUUGACCUUUAGAUAAUCUUUUUAGAACAUCUCAACAGCUUGGAAAAACUUUUCUUUCCCCACACCCAUUUGUUUAUUCCCAAACUAUUUUUUAAAACAAGAAUUUUACAAGGGUAAAUUUUGAUUCAUUGAUGCAAUUUUUCAACUAUGCUACACUCAUAUUUAUUGAAAGUCCUUUAAAUAUUUCAGUUUCCUGGAUGGCAAACAGAUGCCACUCCCUGCCUGCUAUGUAGAAUUGGGAUAGUUGAAGAAAAAGAUAAAGAAACCCAAGGCCACAAGGACAUGAAAAACUGGGUAGGAAAAAUAAUAUGGCCUAUGGGAAGCUAGGGACAUGAAAUCUAGUAGAGUAUAUUACCAGUCCUGUUCUCCAUCCUGACCCUCCCAAAUCACUUAGAAUCUUUGAUGAAGUCAAGAUUUACCAAUACAUAGGUAACAAGAUGUAAAAUGCAUAAUAAUAAACUAUGUUGUAUCUUUUAUGUAGACAGUUGAUUUCAGAUGCUUAGCUUUCACUAUAUGCAUCUAUAAUUUCAUGACACUAGGGUAGUCUAAGCACUUAGUAAUAUUUAGGAUCCUCGGUCAUUUCUCCCAGUACACUCUGUGCACAUAUGUAAUUUUUCUACAACUAAUAGCUUAUUCUUUUAUAAAGAACAGUAAUGGGAAUGGGUAAUUAUCAUCUAGUUGCUUAGGACUGUACUUGUAUAUACGCAAGGGCAGAACUCAUGCUCCACCUUUCAAAACAGUGUUCCUAAACAUCACAGCACACCCAGAACUGGUGAGUGGGGGCAUGUGUGCUGACCCAGAUGAUUAGCACAUCCAUCUAGCCAGCAGCACUAUGAAAUACUUUCCAUUUUUCACUUUGCACAUCUUUUAUGUGAAAACACACACAUACACACACAAUGGUAGCUUUAAUUAACAACAUAGCUCUGUUUAAGGAUUAAUGUUUAAAAUAGUGAUUUCAUGUUAUCCUAUGUCUAAAAUUAGUACGAAUAAAAUAUGGUGGUUACAUAAGCAAAUAUUUCAAGAAAUUUUGGUUCUUUCAUAUUUUUUGUCUAGAUUCUUGUUUUUUUAUUGUUUGCAAUUUUACUAUAAAAGUCUUUGUAAAAAACUUUGUGGUUGGGUCUAAAAGUUGUCUACUUGGGUAUAAGUAAAGGCUAAUGGAUCCAUUUACUGUUAUCUCCAGAUGUGUUUAAUAAAUGAGUUAGAAAACAUGCAGGAACCAAAACAGUGGUUGUAAUAUAUUGGCCCAAAGGAAUAUUUUUACCAGGAGAUUAGUCUGUUACAUAACAAUCAACUAAGACUCUUGAUAAGGGAAACGUUUUCUAUCGUUAUGCAAGGAAUGAUAUGUGAUACCUAGAGAAGAAUGAAAACUUGGAGAGAACUUUGAGAACAUAUUUUAGGGGCUUUGCUGAGAAAAGAACCUGGCAACUGAUUUUAGCAAAGAACUCUUACUCUCCCAUUCCUGCAGUGUUCAAGCUACUACAUUUAAUAUUGUUUGAUUCCAUUUGUUUAGUUUGAUAAAAAGUUCCUUUGUGAUUUUAGAGUGGCCAUAAUUCUUAAAUCAGGUUACCAAAUAUUAUUAAAUUAGGCUGUACCAUUAUCUAUUUGGAAUUAAUGUGAGGUAAUAUCCUUCCUAAUUUAUAGUACCUAUUCUAGUAGAUAUUUCUGGGAUAUAUUAUGGUCAUGAGUAUAUGUGAUCAGGAAUAUAAAAUCAUUCCUGGCAAAGAAGUUAUCACAAGAUAUUCAAUGCAAAGGAAUAUUUGAUGCUUAUCAAUACGCUAUAAAGAACUUUAAAAAAAAUGUCUUCGGAUUUUGUGUAAGAGACAGUCUUCAAGAUAAGUUUGGGCAGUUCACAUUUUGAAAGGAAAUUUAAACUUCACUCUCAAGUGACCUCAUUCAAUUGAGUAGUUAUUUUAACCAUUGAAGGGGACCCUAUAGCAGAUGUAUAAUACAUAUCUUAGCCCAUAUUAGACUUGAUUAUAAUUGAUUUCCAUCUCUCCCACUAGGUUGUGACUCCAUGAGAGAAAGAGGGGUAGGUCCAUCAGUAUAAUUGAAUUCUGUUUUCCAAAAUUGGAUGUUUUUAUAUAUGCUUUGCAUAUUUGAAGGGUUCCUGAAACUUCGAACUAACUAGGCAAAGGGAGCUACAGAACAUUAGACUUGUUUUAAACAUGCAGACAUGACAUUGAACUUUCUUUUUAAAAU